UUUUGUUUGUUUGUUUGUUUUUCCCUACACUGUGCUGUGGAGCUUGGUGGUGUGGGUAUUGUCCUUAAGCAGGAGUGUGUUCAAGAACAAUCUUUGGUGGCUAGAUGUAAUGCUCAGCCCGAGCCUCUAGCUUAGAAAAUUUCUGAACAAAUUUCCUUGCUGUGACUGCCAGGAGCUGAGAUGACAUGACAGGGAGGAAUUGCUUCUCACCUCCUCCCUCUCCUCACCUGAGCACCUGCUACCAACCAUGCUUAGUGCAGGCAAGUUGGUAAUGUUCAUCAGUGACCUUGAUUUAAUUAUAAGUAUCCUGGGAUAAGAAUUUCAUCUUUGAAGAUGCCCAGCAGACUGUGGAUCUGCUUCUGGUGGGAGCAAAAUGCAAUGACGGUGGAGGCAAUGGAUGCUCGCUCAACCUGUUGCAACUAACUACCCUAAGCAGCAGACUUGGUGACACUUCAAGAGGCACAGAGCUCUGCUUUAUGGUAACUACAAAACUCAUGAGGUCUAGAGGAGAUGUCCUGGUGGUUUCUGGUGAUAGAUUUCAGUGGCAUUUUGAAGGUGAAGGAAUCCAGAUACCAAUAACUAUUCAGAAAGUUCAUUAAAAUGUCUGUCUGCACACCAGUAAGUAAACUGCUCAAGGAACGAAUGGUAAAAAGAAAGCAAACGGCGUACGUGUUGUGGUGUUAAAAGAAUUCAGAAGAGGAAAAAUUCCACUUGUUGGAGAAAAAUACUUGACUGACCAGUGCUCGUUAGCAUUUUGUAGCACCCUGUCAUCUUACUGAGCAUCACUUUACAAUUACAAUUUAUAAACUCA
Harpia harpyja (harpy eagle) is the source of this 811-nucleotide long non-coding RNA. RefSeq lists it as uncharacterized. The transcript has 3 exons. The record is from RefSeq and is a predicted model, not a curated record. NCBI's taxonomy places the organism in Eukaryota, Metazoa, Chordata, Aves, Accipitriformes, Accipitridae.